GAGGGGAAGGAGAAAAUCUAGUUUAUAUUCUGUGUGAAUAGCUUUCAAUAUCUUCCAGGUGGGGGCAACCGUAAGCCACUUUUGAGAGAAGGGAGAACAGGCUCUUUAAGCUCCCUGAGUCUAGUUACAGAAGACUUCCUGGCAGUAACACCGUGAAUAAAACAACCACAAGCUUCCAGGAGAUGAGACUUCUAGGCUCUGCUCCAGACAACACCCGGCCAUGGGCAACAGGGCCCACCGCCCUGGGCGCGCCGCAGCCUCGGCCACUCCGAGUCGGCUCCGAUCGCGCACGCGCGCCGUGCACCUGCCCCAUCGCGCCCAGCUGCUGCCUGAGCUCCGGGCACGCCCGCGCUGUGCCGGCGGGGAGUGUCCGUCACUCUCAGCGCUCAGGAUCUCUCCCUUUCCAGGACCGCUAGGAAGCAGGAAAUCCUUUUCCUCUCACGUUUACAUCCCAUUCAUUCUUCCUCCGGGCAAUUCAAGUCCAUUCACAGCCGCCACAGAUGCACGUGUGCACGCGCGCAGCUGCACCUUUAAAGAAACUCUCAAGUCCUGGCGGCCAGAAAACCAGCUUUCAGGCGGGGCGGUGGGGCUCCCCCUCCCCUUGCUUCGUCUCUGCAGAUCUUUGUGCUCUAGGGAGGGAUGGCCGCACAUUCUGACGAGGACGAGGGUGGUGCAUAACGCGGAGGUCAAUUUUGCACAGUCCAGGCAAAAGAGACCCCCCCCCCCCACCAACAUCCCUUCCUGUUCAGUUUCCCUCUCUGGCCCAGCGCGAAGGGCGAGGGGCGACAGAAGCCCGAGGGACAGAAAACCGAGGCUCCUCAGUGGCCGAGUUGGGAGAGAGUGUGAGUCCAGGAGAGCCCGGGGGCAGCAGGGAGAGGGUGCAGAAGCUCGAGCGCACCGAGCCAGAGGCCCCCUCUUCUCCCGCCACGCGGGGCUGGAGGUGCAGGCGCCGGUUCCGCGGCGUGGCCCGGCUAUGUGUCGCUCCUCCGCGCGCCGCCCGCCGCAGCCCGUGCCCUCGGGCCGCCGCCGCCGCCGCUGCCCCCCGUCGAGCCCGCGGCCGCACCCUCGGGCCGAUACUUGAGCCAGCAGAUGACCCAGGUGACAACGACCGAGAAGAGUGCCAGGAUGCUGGCCACCGACAGGCAGAUGGGCCCCACGGGCGAGGGCGAGGGCGACCCGGUGGCCGGUGCCUCGCCAGGGGGCGCCCCGCCUCCGGGGGUUCCCCCGCCGCCGUAGUGGUUGACGAAGAUGAGGCCGGUGAAGAGCAGCACCACCAUGGAGAGGAAGGAGAAGACCACGCACACGCAGCCAGCGUGCAAUACAGUUGACCCUUGGACAACAUGGAUUGGAACCGUGCAGGUCUACUAACUAAUACACAGAUUCUCUUCCACCUAUGCCACCCUUGAGACAGCAAGACCAACCCCUCCUCUUCCUCCUCCUUUUCAGUCCACUCAAUGUGAAGACAAGGAAAAUGAAGAACUUUAUGA
Molecule: long non-coding RNA, 1487 nt
Filed under: Homo sapiens (human)
Lineage: Eukaryota; Metazoa; Chordata; Mammalia; Primates; Hominidae
Description: non-protein coding lnc-CCDC140-1:8
Source: RNAcentral